RNAcentral lists this small nucleolar RNA (106 nucleotides) under Botryobasidium botryosum FD-172 SS1. RNAcentral describes it as "Small nucleolar RNA Z13/snr52". It matches the Rfam family "Small nucleolar RNA Z13/snr52". Rfam says of the family: Z13 or snr52 is a member of the C/D class of snoRNA which contain the C (UGAUGA) and D (CUGA) box motifs. Lineage: Eukaryota; Fungi; Basidiomycota; Agaricomycetes; Cantharellales; Botryobasidiaceae. The record is from Rfam by way of RNAcentral.
GACUAUUCUAUGAUGUAAAGAUUUACGGAUGUAAGAGAUUCGUCUCAUGUCCGAGAGCGCAUAACCCCAUGUGGAUUAUUCCGUUGCCUUCCUUCUGAUCUUUUAC